Molecule: ribosomal RNA, 407 nt
Filed under: uncultured bacterium
Lineage: Bacteria
Description: partial 16S ribosomal RNA
Rfam family: Bacterial small subunit ribosomal RNA
Source: RNAcentral
AUUGAACGCUGGCGGCAGGCCUAACACAUGCAAGUCGAGCGGAACGACCGACGGGUGGGUAAUGCCUGGCAGGCUGCCUGGUAGUGGGGGAUAGCGUCCGGCAACGGGCGCUAAUACAUCACACUAUCAGAUGGGCCUAGGCCGGAUUGGCUAGUUGGUGGGGUAAAGGCCGACCAAGGCGACGGUCCGUACCUGGUCUGAGAGGAAGAUCAGUCACACUGGAACUGAGACACGGUCCAGACUCCUACGGGAGGCAGCAGUGGGGAAUAUUGGACAAUGGGCGAAAGCCUGAUGCAGCCAGGCCGCGUGUGUGAAGAAGGUCUUCGGAUUGUAAAGCACUUUAAGUGGGGAGGCGUUACCAGCAGAAGAAGCACCGGCUAACUCCGUGCCAGCAGCCGCGGUAAUAC